RNAcentral lists this ribosomal RNA (890 nucleotides) under uncultured bacterium. RNAcentral describes it as "bacterial SSU rRNA". It matches the Rfam family "Bacterial small subunit ribosomal RNA", at positions 8 to 879 of the family's 1533-position model. The record is from RNAcentral.
AGAGUUUGAUCAUGGCUCAGGACGAACGCUGGCGGCGUGCCUAAUACAUGCAAGUAGAACGCUGACUACUUUAGCUUGCUAGAGUAGAAGGAGUUGCGAACGGGUGAGUUACGCGUAGGUAACCUGCCUACUAGCGGGGGAUAACUAUUGGAAACGAUAGCUAAUACCGCAUAACAGUGUUUAACACAUGUUAGAUGCUUGAAAGAUGCAAAUGCAUCACUAGUAGAUGGACCUGCGUUGUAUUAGCUAGUUGGUGGGGUAACGGCCUACCAAGGCGACGAUACAUAGCCGACCUGAGAGGGUGAUCGGCCACACUGGGACUGAGACACGGCCCAGACUCCUACGGGAGGCAGCAGUAGGGAAUCUUCGGCAAUGGGGGCAACCCUGACCGAGCAACGCCGCGUGAGUGAAGAAGGUUUUCGGAUCGUAAAGCUCUGUUGUAAGAGAAGACACGUGUGUGAGAGUGGAAAGUUCACACAGUGACGGUAACUUACCAGAAAGGGACGGCUAACUACGUGCCAGCAGCCGCGGUAAUACGUAGGUCCCGAGCGUUGUCCGGAUUUAUCGGGCGUAAAGCGAGCGCAGGCGGUUUAAUAAGUCUGAAGUUAAAGGCAGUGGCUUAACCAUUGUUCGCUUUGGAAACUGUUAAACUUGAGUGCAGAAGGGGAGAGUGGAAUUCCAUGUGUAGCGGUGAAAUGCGUAGAUAUAUGGAGGAACACCGGUGGCGAAAGCGGCUCUCUGGUCUGUAACUGACGCUGAGGCUCGAAAGCGUGGGGAGCAAACAGGAUUAGAUACCCUGGUAGUCCACGCCGUAAACGAUGAGUGCUAGGUGUUAGGCCCUUUCCGGGGCUUAGUGCCGCAGCUAACGCAUUAAGCACUCCGCCUGGGGA